CUCAGGGAAAGCACCCAUCCUUUGGGGUUUGGGGACCCUGGCUGCUCCCGGCCAACAAUCCCAUCUGUCAGCCAGCGCUUGUCCUGAAGUGGAAACUUCUCCGGAAGGCCUGAGGUGGGGCGGUACCUGGCCAACGUCCCAGGAUGGGCCUGAGCCCCUGUUGGCCCGAGGCUCCCCUGCCCUGGUUGUGACUGGAGGACUAUUCCCUGCGCAGAGGGCAGCCGUGGGCAGGCAGCUGGCUCUGUGCUUUGGAGCCCAGAAACUUAAAGAUUUCUCUUCCUUAAAGGUCUGGGUGCAGGGAACAGAAGCCGUUCGUGGCUGUGAAGGAGCCAGUUGUUUGGUUUCGGGCCCAUCCUGUUUCUGCUCAUUCAGGUCUCAGAAACAGCCAGAAAUCUCUCUUGCCAUCUUUCCGUGCCGCCACCAUGGUGCACGUGAAUGUCCUGGCCGAUGCACUCAUCAACGGUGCGGAGAAAAGAUGCGAAAGCCAGGUUCUUCUUAGACUGUGCUCAAAGCCUGGUCCGGUUUCUAAGUGUGGUGACUCAGCAUGGCGCACUGGCGAAUUUGAAAUCACUGAUGAUCACAGAGCUGGGAAGAUCGCCGUGGACCUCACUGGCAGGUCAACCAGGUGUGGAGAGAUCAGGCCGUGGACCUCACUGGCAGGUGUGGAGAGAUCAGGCCCAGAUUCAUGUGCGGCCCAAAGUCCUUGAAACCCCCAGCAGAACAAGCCGCUCCCAGCCCACCGGUUUGGUCUCACGGUAUCACAACCUCAGCCGGCAUGCUGAAGGAGCAAGGCGGCAGGCAAUACAGGAGGGACAAUCCUGGGAUUCGUUUUCUAGGGGUGUAAUGCCUAAGAGAGAAUAAAAUGCCAAAAAAGAAAA
Long non-coding RNA from Erinaceus europaeus (western European hedgehog), 878 nucleotides. RefSeq lists it as uncharacterized. The transcript has 3 exons. The record is from RefSeq and is a predicted model, not a curated record. Lineage: Eukaryota; Metazoa; Chordata; Mammalia; Eulipotyphla; Erinaceidae.